This is a long non-coding RNA of Mandrillus leucophaeus (drill), 434 nucleotides long. RefSeq lists it as uncharacterized. The record is from RefSeq and is a predicted model, not a curated record. Lineage: Eukaryota; Metazoa; Chordata; Mammalia; Primates; Cercopithecidae. The transcript is spliced from 2 exons.
CAGAAGGGACACAAUUAGAUGUGCAUUUACAGAACAGAACUCCUGCUGGAGUGUGGAAAGAGGGAAGAGAUGGGAAGCCGCGAGUGAGAGAGGCAAUACAUUUUCAUAAUUUCUUGUUUUUUUCAUAAACAGUUUUUUCAUAAUUCUCAUUUCUUUUACUUGAAAUAGCAUCAUGGGCUGCGUGCGGUGUCUCACGCCUGUAAUCCCUGUAAUCCCAGGACUUUAGGACGCCAAGGCAGAUGGAUCUCCUGAGAUCAGGAGUUCGAGACCAGCCUGCUCAAUAAGGCGAAAUCCUGUCUCUAUUAAAAAUACAAAAAAUUAGCCGUGCGUUGUGGUGGCCGCCUGUAAUCCCAGCUACUCGGGAGGCUGAGGUUGCAGUGAGCCGAGAUGGCACAACUGCACUCCAGCCUGGGCUACAAGGGUGAAACUGUGUC